UGCAAGUCGAGCGGAUCUUCAUUAGCUUGCUUUUGAAGAUCAGCGGCGGACGGGUGAGUAACACGUGGGCAACCUGCCUGUAAGACUGGGAUAACUUCGGGAAACCGGAGCUAAUACCGGAUAAUCCUUUCCCUCUCAUGAGGGAAAGCUGAAAGACGGUUUCGGCUGUCACUUACAGAUGGGCCCGCGGCGCAUUAGCUAGUUGGUGAGGUAACGGCUCACCAAGGCGACGAUGCGUAGCCGACCUGAGAGGGUGAUCGGCCACACUGGGACUGAGACACGGCCCAGACUCCUACGGGAGGCAGCAGUAGGGAAUCUUCCGCAAUGGACGAAAGUCUGACGGAGCAACGCCGCGUGAGCGAUGAAGGCUUUCGGGUCGUAAAGCUCUGUUGUCAGGGAAGAACAAGUACCGGAGUAACUGCCGGUACCUUGACGGUACCUGACCAGAAAGCCACGGCUAACUACGUGCCAGCAGCCGCGGUAAUACGUAGGUGGCAAGCGUUGUCCGGAAUUAUUGGGCGUAAAGCGCGCGCAGGCGGUUCCUUAAGUCUGAUGUGAAAGCCCCCGGCUCAACCGGGGAGGGUCAUUGGAAACUGGGGAACUUGAGUGCAGAAGAGGAGAGCGGAAUUCCACGUGUAGCGGUGAAAUGCGUAGAGAUGUGGAGGAACACCAGUGGCGAAGGCGGCUCUCUGGUCUGUAACUGACGCUGAGGCGCGAAAGCGUGGGGAGCGAACAGGAUUAGAUACCCUGGUAGUCCACGCCGUAAACGAUGAGUGCUAAGUGUUAGAGGGUUUCCGCCCUUUAGUGCUGCAGCAAACGCAUUAAGCACUCCGCCUGGGGAGUACGGGCCGCAAGGCUGAAACUCA
This 866-nucleotide ribosomal RNA is filed under the name Bacillus sp. (in: firmicutes). RNAcentral's name for it is "bacterial SSU rRNA". It matches the Rfam family "Bacterial small subunit ribosomal RNA", at positions 56 to 903 of the family's 1533-position model. Lineage: Bacteria; Bacillati; Bacillota; Bacilli; Caryophanales; Bacillaceae. The record is from RNAcentral.